RNAcentral lists this ribosomal RNA (253 nucleotides) under uncultured bacterium. Its description in RNAcentral is "partial 16S ribosomal RNA". It matches the Rfam family "Bacterial small subunit ribosomal RNA", at positions 524 to 776 of the family's 1533-position model. The record is from RNAcentral.
GACAGAGGUGCCAAGCGUUAGGCGGAAUCACUGGGCUUAAAGCGUGUGUAGGCGGAAUGGUAAGUACCUUGUGAAAUCCCACGGCUCAACCGUGGAACUGCUUGGUAUACUGCUUUUCUUGAGCCACUUAGGGGCUGUCGGAACAAACGGUGGAGCGGUGAAAUGCGUAGAUAUCGGGUGGAACACCAGGGGCGAAGGCGGCAUCCUGGCUCUGUACUGACGCUGAGGCGCGAGAGCGUGGGGAGCAAACCGG